UUGGAGGGCAAGUCUGGUGCCAGCAGCCGCGGUAAUUCCAGCUCCAAUAGCGUAUAUUAAAGUUGUUGCAGUUAAAAAGCUCGUAGUUGAAUUUCGGGGUUCUACCGUUGGUCGGGCUAUUGUCUGUACUGGCGUGUAGAAUUUCUACCUUCUGGGGAACUAUCAUGUUAUUAAUUUAGCGUGGUAGGAAACCAGGACCUUUACCUUGAAAAAAUUAGAGUGUUCAAAGCAGGCUUAUGUCUGAAUACAUUAGCAUGGAAUAAUAAAAUAGGACGGUGGUCCUGUUUUGUUGGUUUCUGAAUCACCGUAAUGAUUAAUAGGGAUAGUUGGGGGCAUUAGUAUUCAAUUGUCAGAGGUGAAAUUCUUGGAUUUAUUGAAGACUAACUACUGCGAAAGCAUUUGCCAAGGAUGUUUUCAUUAAUCAAGAACGAAAGUUAGGGGAUCGAAGACGAUCAGAUACCGUCGUAGUCUUAACCAUAAACUAUGCCGGCUAGGGAUCGGACGAUGUUAACUUUUCUUGACUCGUUCGGCGCCUUACGGGAAA
This 544-nucleotide ribosomal RNA is filed under the name uncultured Glomeromycotina. RNAcentral's name for it is "SSU rRNA". It matches the Rfam family "Eukaryotic small subunit ribosomal RNA", at positions 548 to 1097 of the family's 1831-position model. Lineage: Eukaryota; Fungi; Glomeromycota. The record is from RNAcentral.